UUUUGCCCCUCGUUCCUCCCCACACAUUUCAAUUGAUCAGUUCAGUUGAACCAACCCCCCAAAAAAUGGCUAAUACACAGACACCAUAAUCGAGACAUGAGCAGCAAUUUCUGCAAUAUCAGACCAAAAUGUUGUUUGUUUGUGUUUCUUGUUUCGUGACAUAAUAUGUUGGGGGGGCAUUUUGGUUUAGAGACUUAAGGUGGGGGAAAAGUCACUGCAAGGUCAUGCCAUAGGAUCCAGCGUUACCAACUUAACCUACUCAUUGACCCCUCCUUAUUGUUUGCACCACCAACUCCAUUUCUGUAUGUUUUCAAUCAUAGCUCAUUGGUAAGUUUAGUAUGGUGGGUUUAAAAUUUGAUUGGAUAUUAAUUUGAAAUAAGAGGUUAGAUCGAUUAAUUCAUAAAUUGGUUGAAUUUAUUAAUUGAAUUAUUUUUUCAAUAAUUUAUUCAAUCAAAUUUGACAAAUUGGUGAUCUAAUCAAUUUGACUACUAGUUUGAUUCUAAAAUCCUUGAUACUUGUUUUGAUGCUUAAACCAUUAGAAAUUAAUAUUAAUUUUAAAAAAAGGGAAAAAAAACUAACAUUAGGUAUGUCUAGUAGUUUAAUGUUGCAUUUUAGGGUUUUAGAUAACUUAUGAUUUGUUGAUGGAGUAUGCUUUGUUUUUUGAUAUGUUUCAUAUAUGUUUUAUGGUCUUGUUAUACAUCAAGAAUCACAGAUUCGAGCCCUACUAGGGAUCUAGGUCUCUAACCCAUGAUCUGGAUAGGUCCUACCAGAUGAUUAAGUGAGAAGCGAGCCACGAAAGAGCAGCAAGGCGAGUUCGCGGACUCAGCUCGUAACGCAAGGCUACAGAUCCAGGGAAGGCUACUGUCCCAGCUCGCAUACACCCAAGGAGCUUGCAGAAAGGGCCGUGUGCUCUGUAGACACAUGCCUAACAAACCUAGAGUUUACAGAGGAUGCUAGUACUAGAAGCAGCAUAAUCAAGACAAAUAGUGAGGGCUCUAUCCUGAGUUGUAAUAGCAUCUGUAACAACAUGUAUAAAUACCCGAACACUCCUAUCAAUAAUAUAUGAGAAAAUAUUACUCAACGUGCCUAUAUUUAAAAUUUGUUACUGUUC
Molecule: long non-coding RNA, 1111 nt
Filed under: Gossypium barbadense (sea-island cotton)
Lineage: Eukaryota; Viridiplantae; Streptophyta; Magnoliopsida; Malvales; Malvaceae
Description: long non-coding RNA (GBAR_LNC012020)
Source: RNAcentral